Hordeum vulgare subsp. vulgare (domesticated barley) is the source of this 354-nucleotide long non-coding RNA. RefSeq lists it as uncharacterized. The transcript is spliced from 2 exons. NCBI's taxonomy places the organism in Eukaryota, Viridiplantae, Streptophyta, Magnoliopsida, Poales, Poaceae. The record is from RefSeq and is a predicted model, not a curated record.
ACAACAACAUUAGCCAUGGGCAGAGAAAUGUUUCUCCUGCUACAAGCUCAAGCACAAUGUGUCCUGGUCCUGCUCCUGGUUGCGGACGAGCAAGAUCGAUAGCACUCGACAGCCAAUUCAGACUUUGGUGUCUUCAUCGUGGUUUGCCGAUAUUUCGCUGCUGGCGACGGUGAUCAGGCUGCCAUAUUGGAAAGCAUCGCGACCACGGUGCCUGGGGAGUGGAAGGUGCACGCUGAAAUGUGACCCUCAUCGGUAACUUGUAGGUGUUAAUAAUUCGUCCCUUUCUUUGUACUAUGUAUGUUAUACAAUAAACUGCUGGAUUCAGAAACUGAAAUAGAAGCUGAUAAUAGCUGA